UCAACCAUCAAGCCUGGCUUGUCUUUGGACCCUUUGCUGCUGAAACAUGUGGCAGGUCCGAAAAAUAAUGACGGUGUCAUGUUUGACCCUAGAUGCAACGAGCUUUUCAUAGCACGCAUUGAAGUGGUCGGCCGGCCCGGUCUUAACCAUCAUUUUUCUAA
This 161-nucleotide unclassified non-coding RNA is filed under the name uncultured fungus. RNAcentral's name for it is "sequence contains ITS2". The record is from RNAcentral. Lineage: Eukaryota; Fungi.